UCGGGAAUUUUGGGCAAUGGGCGCAAGCCUGUCCCAGCGACGCCGCGUGAGCGAUGAAGGCCUUCGGGUCGUAAAGCUCUGUCGGAAGGGAAGAUGGGAGCGAAGGCGAAUAGCCCAGCUCUUGACGGUACCUUCAAAGGAAGCGCCGGCUAACUCCGUGCCAGCAGCCGCGGUAAUACGGAGGGCGCAAGCGUUGUUUGGAAUCACUGGGCGUAAAGCGCGUGUAGGCGGUCAGGACAGUCGGAUGUGAAAUCCGGGGGCUCAACCUCGGUACUGCAUUCGAAACUACCUGGCUAGAGUCUCGGAGAGGAAGGCGGAAUUCCCGGUGUAGGGGUGAAAUCCGUAGAUAUCGGGAGGAACACCAGUGGCGAAGGCGGCCUUCUGGACGAUGACUGACGCUGAGACGCGAAAGCGUAGGGAGCAAACAGGAUUAGAUACCCCGGUAGUCC
Molecule: ribosomal RNA, 449 nt
Filed under: uncultured prokaryote
Description: bacterial SSU rRNA
Rfam family: Bacterial small subunit ribosomal RNA
Source: RNAcentral